This 866-nucleotide ribosomal RNA is filed under the name uncultured archaeon. RNAcentral's name for it is "bacterial SSU rRNA". It matches the Rfam family "Archaeal small subunit ribosomal RNA", at positions 50 to 903 of the family's 1478-position model. The record is from RNAcentral.
CAUGUUAGUCGAGGGUACUCUUCUUCUUCGGAGGAUGAGGUAACCCGGCGGACGGCUCAGUAACACGUGGAUAACUUGCCCUUGGGUCUGGGAUAACCCCUGGGAAACUGGGGCUAAUACCGGAUAGAGCAUCAAUCGCUGGAAUGCCUGAUGCUCGAAAACUACGGUGCCCAAGGUAUAGGUCUGCGGCUGAUUAGGUUGUUGUUGAUGUAAUGGACCAACAAGCCUACGAUCGGUACGGGUUGUGAGAGCAAUAGCCCGGAGAUGGGUUCUGAGAAAAGAACCCAGGUCCUACGGGACGCAUCAGGCGCGAAAACUUUACACUGUGCGAAAGCACGAUAAGGGAACUCUGAGUGCCCCCUAAGGGGGCUGUUCUAGUGUCUAAAAAGCAAUAGAAGUAAGGGCUGGGCAAGACCGGUGCCAGCCGCCGCGGUAACACCGGCAGCCCAAGUGGUAGCCACGUUUAUUGGGUCUAAAGCGUUCGUAGCCGGCUUGGUAAGUUCCUUGGUAAAUUUAGCCGCUUAACGGUUAAGCUUUCAGGGAAUACUGCUUGGCUUGGGACUGGGAGAGGUCAGAGGUACUCCAGGGGUAGGGGUGAAAUCCAUUAAUCCUUGGGGGACCACCGGUAGCGAAGGCGUCUGACCAGACCAGCUCCGACGGUGAGGGACGAAGGCUAGGGGCGCGAACCGGAUUAGAUACCCGGGUAGUCCUAGCUGUAAACGAUGCGGGCUAGGUGUUGGCAUUACUGCGAGUGGUGCCAGUGCCGAAGGGAAGCCGUUAAGCUCGCCAUCUGGGGAGUACGGUCGCAAGGCUUAAACUUAAAGGAAUUGGCGGGGGAGCACCACAACGGGUGGAGCCUGCGGUUC